Molecule: ribosomal RNA, 486 nt
Filed under: uncultured bacterium
Lineage: Bacteria
Description: bacterial SSU rRNA
Rfam family: Bacterial small subunit ribosomal RNA
Source: RNAcentral
GACGAACGCUGGCGGCGUGCUUAACACAUGCAAGUCACGGGGGCCCAGCAAUGGGUAACCGGCGAACGGGUGCGUAACACGUGAGCAACCUGCCGAUCUGAGGGGGAUAGCCGGCCCAACGGCCGGGUAAUACCGCAUACGCUUCUGUGGGGACAUCCCUGUGGAAGGAAACCUCCGGGGCAGAUCGAGGGGCUCGCGGCCUAUCAGCUAGUUGGUGUGGGUAACGGCCCACCAAGGCGACGACGGGUAGCUGGUCUGAGAGGAUGGCCAGCCACAUUGGGACUGAGAGACGGCCCAGACUCCUACGGGAGGCAGCAGUGGGGAAUCUUGCGCAAUGGCCGAAAGGCUGACGCAGCGACGCCGCGUGUGGGAUGAAGCAUUUCGGUGUGUAAACCACUGUUGCCCGGGACGAACAGCUCUUUUCGAGAGCCUGACGGUACCGGGUGAGGAAGCACCGGCUAACUCCGUGCCAGCAGCCGCAGUAAU